Molecule: ribosomal RNA, 459 nt
Filed under: uncultured bacterium
Lineage: Bacteria
Description: partial 16S ribosomal RNA
Rfam family: Bacterial small subunit ribosomal RNA
Source: RNAcentral
CCUACGGGGGGCAGCAGUGAGGAAUAUUGGUCAAUGGGCGCGAGCCUGAACCAGCCAAGCAGCGUGAAGGAUGAAUGCCCUACGGGUUGUAAACCCCUUUUAUAAAGGAAUAAAGUGAGGCACGUGUGCCUUCUUGUAUGUACUUUAUGAAUCAGGAUCGCCUAACUCCGUGCCAGCAGCCGCGGUAAUACGGGGGAUCCGAGCGUUAUCCGGAUUUAUGGGGUUUAAAGGGUGAGUAGGGGGAAUGCCAAGUCAGCGGUAAAAUCGCGGGGCUCAACCUCGCACCGCCGUUGAAACUGGCGUUCUUGAGUGGGCGAGAAGUAUGCGGAAUGCGUGGUGUAGCGGUGAAAUGCAUAGAUAUCACGCAGAACUCCGAUGGCGAAGGCAGCAUACCGGCGUCCAACUGACGCUGAGGCACGAAAGCGUGGGUAUCGAACAGGAUUAGAUACCCCUGUAGUC